Molecule: ribosomal RNA, 618 nt
Filed under: Cylindrospermopsis raciborskii CP-1
Lineage: Bacteria; Bacillati; Cyanobacteriota; Cyanophyceae; Nostocales; Aphanizomenonaceae
Description: bacterial SSU rRNA
Rfam family: Bacterial small subunit ribosomal RNA
Source: RNAcentral
CGGGAUGCUUAGGCAUCUAGUGGCGGACGGGUGAGUAACGCGUGAGAAUCUGGCUCCAGGUCGGGGAUAACAGUUGGAAACGACUGCUAAUACCGGAUGUGCCGAGAGGUGAAAGAUUUAUCGCCUGGAGAUGAGCUCGCGUCUGAUUAGCUAGUUGGCGGUGUAAGGGACCACCAAGGCAUCGAUCAGUAGCUGGUCUGAGAGGAUGAUCAGCCACACUGGGACUGAGACACGGCCCAGACUCCUACGGGAGGCAGCAGUGGGGAAUUUUCCGCAAUGGGCGAAAGCCUGACGGAGCAAUACCGCGUGAGGGAGGAAGGCUCUUGGGUCGUAAACCUCUUUUCUCAAGGAAGAAGAAAGUGACGGUACUUGAGGAAUAAGCAUCGGCUAACUCCGUGCCAGCAGCCGCGGUAAUACGGAGGAUGCAAGCGUUAUCCGGAAUGAUUGGGCGUAAAGGGUCUGCAGGUGGAACUGAAAGUCUGCUGUUAAAGAGUUUGGCUUAACCAAAUAAAAGCGGUGGAAACUACAGAACUAGAGUGCGGUAGGGGCAAAAGGAAUUCCUGGUGUAGCGGUGAAAUGCGUAGAUAUCAGGAAGAACACCGGUGGCGAAAGCGUUUU